GACGAACGCUGGCGGCGUGCCUAAUACAUGCAAGUCGAGCGGACGAAUCGAAAGCUUGCUUUUGAUUCGUUAGCGGCGGACGGGUGAGUAACACGUGGUCAACCUGCCCUGUAGACGGGGAUAACACCGAGAAAUCGGUGCUAAUACCGGAUAACACGAAAUGUCGCAUGACGUUUCGUUGAAAGACGGCGCAAGCUGCCGCUACAGGGUGGGCCCGCGGCGCAUUAGCUAGUUGGUGAGGUAACGGCUCACCAAGGCGACGAUACGUAGCCGACCUGAGAGGGUGAUCGGCCACACUGGGACUGAGCCACGGCCCAGACUCCUACGGGAGGCAGCAGUAGGGAAUCUUCCGCAAUGGACGAGAGUCUGACGGAGCAACGCCGCGUGAGCGAAGAAGGCCUUCGGGUCGUAAAGCUCUGUUGUUAGGGAAGAACAAGUAACGCAGUAACUGGCGUUACCGUGACGGUACCUAACGAGAAAGCCACGGCUAACUACGUG
RNAcentral lists this ribosomal RNA (498 nucleotides) under uncultured bacterium. RNAcentral describes it as "partial 16S ribosomal RNA". It matches the Rfam family "Bacterial small subunit ribosomal RNA", at positions 28 to 507 of the family's 1533-position model. The record is from RNAcentral.